Molecule: ribosomal RNA, 884 nt
Filed under: uncultured archaeon
Lineage: Archaea
Description: bacterial SSU rRNA
Rfam family: Archaeal small subunit ribosomal RNA
Source: RNAcentral
CCGGUUGAUCCCGCCGGAGGCUACCGCUAUUGGAGUUCGAUUAAGCCAUGCGAGUCGCGAGUCUUAGGGACUCGGCGUACCGCUCAGUAACACGUGGGUAACCUGCCCUAUGCUGGGGGAUAACCUCGGGAAACUGAGAAUAAUACCCCAUAGUUCACCACGCCUGGAACGGUGGGUGGACCAAAGCUCCGGCGGCAUAGGAUGGGCCUGCGGCGUAUCAGGUUGUAGGGGGUGUAAUGUACCCUCUAGCCCUCUACGCGUACGGGUGUUGAGAGACAUCGCCCGGAGAUGGAUUCUGAGACACGAAUCCAGACCCUACGGGGUGCAGCAGGCGCGAAAACUUGGCAAUGCGAGAAAUCGUGACCAGGGAACUCCAAGUGCAUCGGGUAAGACCGAUGCUUUUCUUGACUCUUCAAAGGUCUUGGAAUAAGGGGUGGGUAAGGACGGUGCCAGCCGCCGCGGUAAUACCGGCGCCCCAAGUGGUAGUCGCUUUUAUUGGGCCUAAAACGUCCGUAGCCGGUCUGGUACAUUCGUGGGUAAAUCAACCAGCUCAACUGGUUGAAUUCUGCGAGCACGGCCAGACUUGGGACCGGGAGAGGUGUGGGGUACUCUCAGGGUAGGGGUAAAAUCCUGUCAUCCUGAGAGGACCACCUGUUGCGAAGGCGCCACACUAGAACGGAUCCGACGGUCAGGGACGAAGCCUAGGGGCACGAACCGGAUUAGAUACCCGGGUAGUCCUAGGUGUAAACGCUGUGGACUUGAUGUUGGGGGCGCUCCGAGCGCACUCAGUGUCGAAGCGAAGGUGAUAAGUCCACUGCCUGGGGAGUACGGUCGCAAGGCUGAAACUUAAAGGAAUUGGCGGGGGAGCACCGCAACCUGAGGAU